Molecule: non-coding RNA, 609 nt
Organism: Oreochromis niloticus (Nile tilapia)
Lineage: Eukaryota; Metazoa; Chordata; Actinopteri; Cichliformes; Cichlidae
Source: the annotation of a RefSeq genome assembly
AAUGUCUGAAUUGAUUUGACAAAACCACUUUUUUACAAUUCUUUAGAUCUCUUUAGAUCUCUUAUAAUCUGUCAGCAUCCAUCUAUAUGCAAAGCAAACUUCCUGACAGUCUACUAUAAAGACUUGAAAUCAUGCCGCCAGUUAAAACAGAAGAAGAGAAGUUCCCAUCAGAUUAUCUUGAGUACCAAAAUGUUCUCUGUGGCUCUGCUGCUCCUGCUGGCUGCUGGAUCCUGUGUGAAGUGUGAACAGCUGACACAGCCAGAGUUUGUGACUGUGCAGCCAGGUCAGCGCCUGACCAUCACCUGUCAGGUCUCUUAUUCUCUAAGCAGCUGGAGGACAUCUUGGAUCAGACAGCCUGCAGGGAAAGGACUGGAGUGGAUUGGAGGUGCACAUUAUGGAUACCCCACAUUUUACAAAGAUUCACUAAAGAACAAGUUCACCAUCAACUUAGACACUUCAAGCAAGACAGUGACUCUAAAUGGACAGAAUAUGCAGCCUGAAGACACUGCUGUGUAUUACUGUGCCAGAGGGUCACAGUAAUACGAAACAUCAGUAGAGCUGAACAAAAACCUCUCACAGCUUCAACAUGUGUAACAUCCUCCACCACUA